GAACGCGGUUUUGGCCUCCUAAAACCGUGCCCAUGGAGGUUUUAGGAGGUCAAAAUCGCGUUC
RNAcentral lists this microRNA precursor (63 nucleotides) under Aedes aegypti (yellow fever mosquito). RNAcentral describes it as "microRNA aae-mir-11907 precursor". The record is from miRBase by way of RNAcentral. Lineage: Eukaryota; Metazoa; Arthropoda; Insecta; Diptera; Culicidae.